Molecule: long non-coding RNA, 261 nt
Filed under: Amborella trichopoda
Lineage: Eukaryota; Viridiplantae; Streptophyta; Magnoliopsida; Amborellales; Amborellaceae
Description: long non-coding RNA (ATRI_LNC000135)
Source: RNAcentral
AAGAACUCGCCCUGAUCAUCCAGGGCAAGUAGAAAGUAGGCGAAAGACUUGAACGACUCAGAUGAGCUCGAGGACGAGGGUUCCAUUGCAUUUGCAGAGACCCGAAGAAAAAAAAAUCUAUGCGUGCGUUCAUGUCUUAAUAUUCUUUCACAAGCAAGAAAGAAAAAGAAAACAGAAAGAAGAAAAAAACCGGACUCUAGCUGCUCUUAUUUAUUAAGUUAAUAGCUCUAUCUAAGCUAGGACCCUUAGGCUUCUCUUGAU